RNAcentral lists this long non-coding RNA (199 nucleotides) under Linum usitatissimum (flax). RNAcentral's name for it is "long non-coding RNA (LUSI_LNC000520)". Lineage: Eukaryota; Viridiplantae; Streptophyta; Magnoliopsida; Malpighiales; Linaceae. The record is from RNAcentral.
AUAUGUUCAACGGCCGACCCGCUUGCGCUCCGGAAGUUAGUAGAAGGACAGAGACCACCAACAGAGCGAUGAUCGCUAACCGAACCGAUCUGAACCCGCCUGCCAUUUUGGUUGGUUGAUCCCGAUUUUGAGUUUUGUAGUGAUGUGAAUCGAAGAAUGCUCUGUUUCAGGAGUUUGAAGAUACAGAGGAGGAUUAGGU